CACUUGUGCUAGUCUUUGCGUGGCAGGCGCCCGCCCUCCAUUCGCAUCCGUGAAGCCAAACCGUUCGCAGGCGUGCGACAUCGGAGAAACACAAACCCCGAAGAUAGCCAGGCGCACGACAGCUCCCAGGACGCUCCUGAAGUACCUUUCACCCCAUUCUGACGCAACCACACCAGAAUGAAGUCAAUGAUUCUCCAGCUCACUCGCAGCCUGCGGAGCGCGGCGCCACUCGCCGUCCUCCGUGGCGCCCACUCGGCGGCACGUCCUGCCUCCACACACAAGUCAGAAAAGAUGCUCUCCUCCGAGGAAAUCUACACUCGUGAGCAUAAGUACGGCGCGCACAACUACCAUCCCCUGCCUGUAGCGCUGGAGAGGGGCGAGGGCGUCUAUGUGUGGGACAUUGAAGGCAGCCGCUACUACGACUUCCUGAGCGCCUACAGCGCCGUCAACCAGGGCCACUGCCACCCCAAGAUCAUCGCCGCCCUCAACGCUCAAGCCUCCAAGCUCACGCUGACCUCCCGAGCCUUCUACAAUGAUGUGCUGGGCGCCUACGAGGAAUACGUUACGGCCAUGUUUGGCUACGACAAGGUCUUACCCAUGAACACGGGUGUGGAAGGCGGUGAGACGGCGUGCAAGCUGGCUCGUAAGUGGGCCUACAACGUGAAGGGCGUGCCCAAGGACAAAGCCAAGAUUGUUUUUGCCGAUGGGAACUUCUGGGGCCGCACCUUGGCAGCAAUCUCCAGCUCCACGGACCCCAGCAGCUACGAAGGCUUCGGCCCUUUCAUGCCCGGCUUUGAGCUGGUCCCGUUCAACGACGUUCCCGCACUUGAGAAAGCCCUCCAGGACCCGCACGUCGCCGCCUUCAUGGUGGAGCCCAUCCAGGGCGAGGCGGGCGUGGUGGUGCCUGACACCGGCUACCUGACCCAAGUCAGGGAGCUGUGCACGCGGCACGAUGUGCUGUGGAUCGCCGACGAGGUGCAAACGGGCUUGGGGCGGACCGGCCGGCGUCUGGCCGUGGACCACGAGCGAGCGCGUCCAGAUAUUGUCAUCCUGGGAAAAGCUCUCUCAGGAGGAGUCUACCCUGUGUCUGCCGUGCUGUGUGACGACGAGGUCAUGCUAACCAUCAAACCCGGGGAGCACGGGUCCACGUACGGAGGGAACCCCGUCGCUUGUCGCGUGGCCAUCGCUGCCCUCCAGGUCAUGGAGGAGGAGAAGCUGGUGGAGAACGCAGAGCGAAUGGGACAGCUGCUGCGCUCGGAGCUGAGCAAGCUGCCGUCCGACAUCGUGACCACGGUGCGGGGCAAGGGCCUGCUCAACGCCGUCGUCAUCAAAGAAACCAAAGACUACGACGCAUGGAAGGUGUGCCUGCGCCUGCGCGACAACGGCCUGCUGGCCAAGCCCACCCACGGCGACAUCAUCCGCCUGGCCCCGCCCCUCAUCAUCAACGAGCCCCAGCUGAGAGAGUGCAUCGACAUCAUCCACAGAACCGUCGCGUCUCUCUAAAAUGUGCAGUCAAGUUCAAGAGGCUCAUCCUGAUUUGGCUCCUUGUUCCCAGCAUCGGUUAUUUUGCCCACUCUCCCAGAAAGUAUUUCGUCCGGACAAAAUGGUGGAAACGAAAGAUGCUGUGGGCUCCUUUUGUAAGUCUCGUAAACAAAAAGGACAAGAACUAGCACAACACACCAGCUUACGGGUCCCGAUAUUAGGGUGAGCAGCAUUGCUCGUUUCUUACGGCUUUUGUAGACGUGCUACUACAUCCCAACGAAGCGCUUCCGAAUAUUUUCAUCCUCUCAUAUUAGAAACGCUGUGCCAGCAUCACCUCUAUUAGCCUCCUGAUGACUUCCUCCCCACAUCGGCUGCGUCUGUGCGUUUCUUUUUCUUUCUUUUUGCACUGAUUCUAAUUCCUACUACUACUACUGGAGGUGCAUCUGUAUGCAUGGAAAGGCUCCGGCUGCGUGGCGAGUUCAGUGACACCGCGGAACCCGCCGCCUCCUCGAGUAAUACGCAAUGAGCUAUGAGAGGAGACGGGAGCCUGCGGGACGAGACGUUGGUGAGCCGCCUCGCUACGGCCGUGUGUGUGCGCAUGUGUGAUGUUUCACAAUCAAGCUUACCCGUCCAAGCGUGGCGAGCAGCUGGACCCGGGUGGUAUUAGUAUGCCACCCGGUGUCCCCGCAGCCACAGAGACGACGUUCGAAUAGCAGCCCGGCCUUGCCUUUUUUUUGCACGUACAUAGAAUUAGCGCCUGCACGACUGACCUAUUUUUCAUAGUCGACGCUAAUGUGAUACAAGUCGAGUCAAAGUCAAUUAAUCGAAGACGCCAUUGAUAUUUUUUUUUCAGCACUGUACAACCCGACCAAAGAACACAACGAUUUACCGACUUAAAGCUUUAAACGUCGAUGCGGAGUAGUAAAGUCGACUUGUCAAUUUGUCAACUAAUCGGUGUAACCCUACGAUAAAUGUAGUUUUCAAAUUAAGUACAUUUAAAUUGCAAAUUUUGAAAUUGCAGAAAAAGGGUGCAAAUUUCAGAUUUGCAACAGAGGCUUGAUGGUUUCCUUCAAUGUUACGCAAACGACAAGGUUCGUCCAGUGCAAAGGUUUCUUACAAAAUGCUGAAGGAAUUUUUGGGUAAUCCUACUAACAAACGAGAUACCAGAACUAGCAUACUUGUGCAACGUUUAUGGUUCUUCCCACCCAAAAAAAUACAAACCAUAGAAAAUGGUACAAAGUCAUUUUGCAUAAUCCUGCUAACUAACAAACAAACAUGCAAGAACAUGCGAAAACUCUGCUGAUUUUGAAAACAACAUUUGUGGAUACGGCCCAGAACCAAAACUGAAUGAGGCUUCGGGGGGGGAAAAAAAACUGUGAAAAAGCUCAAGUAGUUUUCACUUCUGCAACGGUACUACAAUUUAGGCAGAUCCAAAUUUUGCAAUGUUAAGUAAAACAUGGAUCAGGAUCAGGACCACUUCCUGGAUAUCAAUGAGUUCUUUAAAAAAAAAAAAAAAAAAAAAAACUUGCAUAAUUCUUUUGCUGAAUCCUUCUAACUAGAACAAUCCCAAACCUGCGCCAUGGCAUGACGAUCUUAUUUUGCGAUGACCGCCAAAAUGAAAAUGGGAGGAUUUAAUGGAUUUGUCAAAGUUUGGUCGAAAAUACUAGUUCAAAGUCAUUUUUGGAGUGACCCUGCGAAGAAACAAGCUAGAAUGAGCCCGGAAAUCCAAAUCCAAAUCCAAAUGGUUUCUUGGUUAAGCAACACAAGAUUGUUUUCAGUUCAGCACGACUCGUGGACGCUUCAGUUCUGCCUCGCUUAUGUUUGCAAACAAAGGCUAAUUCAUGAAUGUUUACGCGGCCAAUUACAUUCCUUCACUCGGGAUUACGCAAGCCACUUCAAACAUUGCACAACACUUUCACUUCCUUGUUGUCAAGUCAAUAAAAAGGGAUUUUACUUUUC
Phyllopteryx taeniolatus (common seadragon) is the source of this 3441-nucleotide RNA transcript. It is a transcript of the gene named ornithine aminotransferase, with no coding region annotated. Lineage: Eukaryota; Metazoa; Chordata; Actinopteri; Syngnathiformes; Syngnathidae. The record is from RefSeq and is a predicted model, not a curated record. The transcript has 12 exons.